ACUUGUGCUCUUCCCAUGUGCCAGAUACUGCGUUAAGAGCUAGGCAUAUAGUGAUAGAAAACAGAGUAUCCUCAUGAAUCUUGCAAGCAAGUAGGAGAAGCAGACAUUUAACCAGGACACAUGUAAAUAAAUGAAAACCCAUGAUCAAAACUCUGAGGAAAAAGAAAAAAAAGUAGGCAGUGGGUGAGGGAGUCAUGCUGAAACAGGCCAGGGUGGACCUCUUAUAGAAACUCAAGGCAUGACCUUUGAGUAGGUGUGAGAGUCCUGCUUUCAGGAGAUUGUUUCUGGCUUUCAUUAGCAGUAGUCACAGGGAGCCUCGAAGGUCAAAUCUGGAUCUCUGUAACAGGGUCCACAACACUGGGAAGUUUAAUAAGAUGCAGAGGUUCUAGAAAGAGAAUGGCAGUUUAUAUCAGGCAAGCAGUGUUGCUUAGGGCAACAGGGUUCUGUUGCAUGGAGUGUGUGUGUGUGUGUGUGUGUGUGUGUGUGCAAAUAGCACGUGUGACCAGGAUAUUGAGGCAGCAGCUAUGGGACGAGGGGAAGGAGUGGCGGUGGCUGUAAUCCACACGGUGGAAGAAUAAGCAAAUACUGAUGCGAGAUUUACUGUAAUGCUAGGAAAUUCCGGGAGAUAGCCACGGCAGUAGAGGUGGUUUAUGCUUUUUGGUCUCCGUGUUUCAAAUCGUAAGGCUGUGUCAAGUCAGACUGUUAGAGGAAAACACAAAAAUAGGAAAAAAAAAAAAGUCUUCAUGCCGUAUCAACAAGAUCAAAGUUGGUUUAAAUUUGCAUUGAAUGAUGGUGGUUUUUAAAAAUUCGCUUGCGCUAAUCUAGCAACACCCGGUUGCUUAUAGUGUUUUUGCACCGUUAAUCCCUUGUACCUGUUAAUAGCAUGUAAUGAGUGGCAUACAGCUCGUCUUUAGUCUGUGGAAUAUGGGUUCUGCAAAGAUGACUGCUCACAAUUAAUUGCUUCAGCUUCUUCCAUCGUCUCAAGUGAUACGGGUUUCUAUAGGAGGAAAACCAAACAAACCCAAACCUCCGCAGACUCUUUUGAAAACCAUUUUAGAGCAACUAGUUUAUGUCCACACCAUAGAAUUGCCAUUUCUUUGCCAUGGUGUCCGGGUGUCAGGACCCGCAAAUGGUAGCCGACUUGAUGUCAAAUUCUCCGCCUUCUCCCCUGAGCUCUCAGAUGCCUGAAUCCAGCCAGGUGUGAGGAUCCUUCCAUUAUUGACUCAGAAGCUUGGUCCCUUUGUCGGCUUCCGUGGUCAGUCAGGCUGUUUUUCUCCCUGGCUCUGCUCAGGGUGUAGAAGGAAGCACUACAUCAUAGCACCUGCAUUCCUGAAAUGCAUCUGUUAAAACUGCAGUUCCCCCGAGAAGGCUGCCGCACGUAACACUCCAGGAUCCGCAUGGGGUUAGCGCUGCGGCUCAGUUCCUACAGGUCCUGGGGACGCCGUAAUUAUCAUGACUUCAUCCCACACAUUUGAACGUUAUUGUGAUAAGUCUGUGAUGGCAGAGAGCUUCAGAAGCUUAAACAAAUCUACUUCAGGGCUCUAGCCUAUACUUACAAAUAUUACCUAAAAGGUUACUCAUAGCUAGCUUUUUUUUUUCUUCUUCAAAUUUUGACCCAAUUUCUUUUCAGAAUAGACUGGCAAUUUACCUGUCUGUUCUCCAUGGGCCAACUUUUAGGGAUGUGAUGUUGUGUGAAGGGAGUUUUUUUCAUGAUGUUGAAAAAAAGAUAUUUUAAGACAGUAAAGCAUAUUAAUUUGUAGAUUCCUUUUUUUAAUGUUUAUUUUUGAGAGAGAGAGAGAGAGAGAGAGAGACAAAAUAUGAGUGGGGGAGGGGCGGAGAGAGAGGGAGACACAGAAUCCAAAGCAGACUCCAGGCUCUGAGCUGUCAGCACAGAGCCCGAGUCGGGGCUCGAACUCAUGAACAGUGAGAUCAUGGCCUAAGCCAAAGUUGGAACCUUAACCGACGGAGCCACCCAGGCUCCCCGGUAAAAAUGUUCUAAAGAAAAUAAAAAUGUAAUGAAUUUAUCCUUUUCAGAAUCUCAUAUGUUCCAAGGACAUGGCUAACGAUUUCAUCAGUAAGGCUCUUCAUAAUAGUUACACGGGUAAUUGACCUGAGGUUCGACAACUUCCUGGCGGUGCCCUGCUUGGAUACCGGACCGCUUGUUGUUUUUCUAUUUGCAUUAAGGCAGUGACCAAGAUGAUUUUUGAGGGGAGGGAGAUAUUCCUUGGAGGACAGGAUAAAAGAUUAGUCUUUACUAUUUUUGGUAUCCCCCCACUGCUGAGCACAGUGACCCAUAUGCUGCGGAUCCCAGUCAAGCCUGCUGUCCCCGACAUUAAGUUCAGACUGUGACUUCCCAGGGAAGAAUCUCCCUAAGAGAGUGGGUCAGGGUGAAAGGUCCCUUGAGUCACCAAACUCUUCUGUUGAUGAUAGCAAAGCCAAGACCAGACGUGCCAGUGAUGCUGAUUUUACGUGCAUCGGUCACUAACACAUUUGCUGGGUUUCCAUAAAAUGCGAGAAAGUGAUCACAGACCGACUGCUCAUAAAUCCGCCAAACCCCCUACAGGCAGAGGGCCUUGAGAGAAAGAAGCUAAGGGCACAGCUGCCAACUGAGGAGUGAGGCAAAUAGCUCUUUGAAGAGGCCCAAGGCCACACCAUUCUCCCAGGGUCCCCUGGAGAAGUGAGGGGUGAGGCUGGCUGGCUGUGUGAGGAGACGUCUCCCAGCAGGCUGAGGACGGAAGGGUUGUGGACAUGCCCGAGGCUACCCACAGCGGAAUUUGGAAGUGAAUAAAUAGUCACAUCUGCACCUUCCCUUAGAAGAUUUUUCACAGCUUGAACUGGCUACUAAAAGGUAGGUACCCCCCUUUUAAAGAACGUUUGAAAAAAACAAGGAUGCAGUUGCUUUCUGUGAGACUAUGCUUGCUGUUGAUGUUCAGCUCUCUAUAAAUGUAUAUUAAGUAAGUGUUACUACCAUAUGUGAGUAUGGUAGUGAGUAUGUGAGUAUUCUAUUAGCUGUUAAGUUAAAUUAGCUGUUAAGUUAAAUUAGCUGUUAAGUUAAAACCAAAAUGCCUGUCCCUAUGUAGAAGGUGUGGAAAGAGACACCGUUUCUUUCGUAUUUGGUCCUUCAGUAUGGCAGAGUGCAGAGUUGAAAUAUUUGAAGGGUUCAGGCAUUGGUAUAUUAUGCAGGUACCAGUUGGAGACCCACGUACGUCUUUUCUUUAUGACGCUUCUCCAAAAAACGUUUCUCUUGUUAACACUUAGAUUUGGUUUUGGGUUUUGGUGUUUUAGACCAAACACGGGAUUUAGGUAAAGGAUUCAUUAAUGAGAAUGCAUUUUCCACUACUGCCCAAUGAAUAUUUGAUGGCAUUUUUGUUGCCUUGAAAUGGUAAGAUGCUGUAAAUACCUCUGAACAAGCUUUUCAAGAAGUUCAUAUUCUCAGAAAAGCUGACGUUCGCCUAACCACGAUAAGGCAGGGCUGUAGUCUCCCUCCUCCUCUUGGGUAUAUCUGUCUCUUAUAUUCAGCCAACUCCAUGAAAAGGUGUAGAAUUUCCCAUGAGGUUUCAGGAGCCCAUAAUGUUAUUACCAUAAUUGAUCGGUCUUUAACCUACCCACUUCUUAAAUAAGAAGAUUCACUUUUUAUUUUUUCUUUUUGCCAACACCUGCAGUCAGAUGUUUCCCUGUUUUGUUUUGUUUUGUUUUGUUUUGUUUUUUAAUAGUGUGUGUCAGAAGUGGCUCCUUAUAAAGACUAGGAUCAUUUCCUUUUCAUAAAGCUUUCUGAGAAUAGUGAUACUGCUUUGCUAAAAAUGUCUCUUCUGCAGAAGAAACUUUCCCUAAGCACGCAAACACGAUGAGUGUGUGUGAAAUGUGGCCAGUAACGGUAGCCAUACUUGGCAAAGGCGAGCGACAGGAGUGAACAGCAGGUUUGUGCGUUGUCGGCCUGGGAGGGUUUAGAUGUGGCCCAGCCUCCAGGUGGGAACCUGAACCGCAUCCCAAGAGACGUGCCUACCUCAGGAGGCUAAACACAGAAACACUCUCCUCAAACCUAGCGAGUCAGUUAAUUAACUGCAUUUAUAAUUCCAUAAUUGAGACUCACUCUUAUGGAUGGUUAGGCAGUUAACUAGCCAUAUGGAAGUGAUGUGGAAUUCUAAUGAAGGUGGAAUUGAAUAGCAGGGUAGAAACUCGGCAGGUCGGUGGCUUCUGUGCUGUGGGAAAAGGGAUCUGGACCAAGGAUGAGUACCUGGUUAAUAAGGUCUUGAGAAGUGCCUGAUAGCUUUUUCUUUAAGACUAGGGAUGCAAGAUAGAACUAUGAAACACGAGAAAAAUGAGAUUUAAGUUGAGAUUGGCAAAAGGGGUAUUUUAUUUUUAUUUAAAAAAAAUGUUUAUUUAUUUAUUUUGAGAGAGAUGGAGAGAGUGCAAGUGGGAGAGGAGCAGACAGAGAGGGAGAGAGAGAAUCCCAAGCAGCCUCCAUGCUCAGCACGGAGCCCGAUGCGGGGCUUGAUCCCGUGACCCUGAGAUCAUGACCUGAGCUGAAAUCAAGAGUUGGAUACUUACCUGGGUGAGCCACCCAGGCACCCGAGGAUAACACCACAUCAGCCCACUGGACUUUUACUUGGUCUCUAAAACAGAACAUAUAAGCUGGGAGUGCAUGACCAGCUAUGAACUGACUUGGGUCACGGUAAAUGUGAUUUUUGUCCCUCUACAUUUACACCUGCCUCAGUCUGCUCUGGGGUCCUGUAGCUGUCCCUGCCUCCUGCCAUCAAGGCUCCCCGACUGUGCUGUUUGGCAGGAUUGGAUUUUGUCAGUUGCCUCCCACAAAGGAAAUGCUCAGGAGGCAUAUGUUGCAGUGCCUUUCCGAAAUAGUUGAAGAUGUCACCUUCAUAAACAAAAUGACUGGAUUUAUUUUCUUUCUCCCUUCCCUUCUUUUGAUGAUCAAAAGACAGAACAUUUUAAGUACUCCCCAUUCCCCCCCCCCCACCCCCUUCUUGACUGAUUGGAAGAAAUACUGUUACAUGGCAGAAUAUUGGCAGUGAGUAGAAAUACAAAGAAGGUUUAACAUUAACCUUAUGGAGGAACAGUGCAAGACCAAUGGAAUGAUGGAAGAAAAGGCUUACUAAUAAUAUUACAUACUAGUAUAAUUAAAUAAAUAUGGAAAAUUUCAUGCAUUUAGAUGGUGGUCUAGAUCCUAACACUUAACCACUCACUUUCAAACAGAAGCUAUUUUUGUAAGCACGUAGGAGUCUAGUAAUAUUUUUUGGCUAGAAAUCAUUUAAAGUUUACAUCACUGUAUAGCAUGGAUUAAGCAGGUGCAAGGAAAUUGAAGAAGAGAAUGUUUAGAUUUCAGAAAGUGAAUUCCAUGUAACUGUGAGAGGUGGAGCUUGGAUUAGUGCCACAGUUUUGAGGAAGACGCUUUAGUGACACCGUGUUUCUGUGCCUGAUUCUUAUACACACACACACAGGUACAACAUGUGGGAGUAUUCAUUGUCCAGAAUUCUAGAAUUCAUAAUUUUGCAACCAGAUAUGAAUUCUAGAAUUCAUAAUUUUGCAACAGUGAUUCAUGCAAAAUCUUUUUCUUUUUUUUAAACCAUAUAUUUGAAUAAAUUGUGAAUUAUGGAUUUUUUUUCUUUUUUACUAGCAAAGUGGUAUCUUUUGGAAUGACUUCUUAAUUGUCCACGGUAAGGUUUAUAUCUUGCUGGUCAAAACAUCUUAACAUACUAAGGUCAAGUUCAGAAUUAUAAUCAAAGAAGGUACUUAAAAAUUUUUUUUUUCCAGGGAGUCUGAUUAUAAAAGAAUUUUGUAGUACCAUUACCCGUAACCAAAUUUUUGUCUAGUAUUGUAUGUCUUGUCUUCAUUUUGUACAUUUCUUUUAGUUUUAUGAUUAGAUUCUUAGUAAUAUCUGCCCGCCACUCCCCCUUUCUUUCCCUUCCUAGGAUCUGAAUAAAUACAGCUUGAUGCGUGGUCUUCAUUUAUUGUAGCUAAUUAGAGAGAUACUUGAUCCUGGACAUGUAAGGUCUGGUGUUAUCAAGCACUGAUUUAUAAGCUACAGGGACUGUCCUUUGUUGAUGUUAUACACACCAUCUCAGUACCCCUGCAAAAGAGGUGGUGUUACGUCUGUUUACAGAUCAGGAAAUAGGUUCGGAGAGCUUCAGGGACUCCUCCAAAGUGUCAGGUCAGGCCGCAAGAAACAUAGUUGAUCCAGGAUUUAAACUCAGCUGUGUCUUACCCCCACACCAUGGCUCUUUUUACUGUGCUGCAUUGCUUUUCCUGUAACUUUUGCCUGUUUCAGAAAUUAAUUUAUCUCCUGGAACAAGCAAUUUUUUCUCUCUGCUAGGUGUUGUGACCUAUUUUCUGUUUCAUAAGAUUUUCCAAGGACAUAAUUUAAGACAGUCUAUGUUUUUAAUUUUUCAAUAUGUUGUUGGUGUUUUGUUUUGAGCAAAUAAACAGUAACAACAAUCAGAUAGUCCAGAAGCUAAAUCAUUGAGCCAGACUUCACACAGGAGAAACAAAGAGCUGGUAGCCAUGCCAGGUGAGUUAUCUCUUGCACCAGGUGCCAGUCCUUCCCUCGGGCAUACGCCUUGGAGCCUUUGGGCCUCAGGAGUGCUUGUUAUGGGCUUAAUUAUUUAGCUCAAUAACUGUUCCCUUGUGCUUUCACAGUUGUACACUUCUUUAUUAGGAAGGGAUAAAUAUCUGAUUGUGGUGAGGCCAUGCGAAGGUAGUUUUGGUGAAAAAAAAAGUGGAUAAUAAAGUAAUCGUUGCAUAUGUCUUUUUAAAAUAUGUGGAAAUAAGGAGCACCUGGGUGGCUCAGUCGCUUAAGCCUCCGACUCUUGAUUUCGCCUCAGGUCAUGAUCUUCCAGUUUGCGAGUUCCAGCCCGGAGUAGGGCUCUGUGCUGACUGCCCGGAGUCUUCUUGGGCUUCUCUUCCCCUCUCUAUCUGCCCCUCCCCUGUUCGCACACUAUGUCUCUCUCAAAAUUAAAUAAAUAAACUAAAAAAAAAAAAAAAAAGUGAAAAUAAAAGCAAUCUAAGGUGUGGUAUUAUAUAAUUUUGAGCAUUUAAUGGAAUGUAAGAAAAGAACCCAUUUAACCCUGAGGUUUAGCCAAGUUCACAGUCUUAGAAUUGUAUUUCCUUCUCCAGGAGUUGAGACCUGCUCUUGAUCCUGCAGGAAGUCCAAUUUACGUAAUCAUAAUGUUGUAAAUGUAGCUAAAGAGUCUGCUGGUUAAUCUCCACACAAGACAAGACGUAAUUCUAACGAUAGAGAAAACAAACCAAGGCCUAAAAACCUGGCAGUGCAGAAAGAGUCCCUUCUUUCCACUGACAGAAGUCCAUGGCUAGACCGCAGGAAGAAAAGAGGCUGUAGAGGAUGCUAAUUUGUUUCGAGAUGCUAAUUUCUUUCUCUUACAUGGUGGGAUGUCAAGAUACACCGUGCCAGGCUGCUGAAACAAGAAACAGAGCUGACCAAUUGAAGAGCUAAAAAUAGCAUAAUCAAGAAAACUAGGGGAGAAUUAGAGGUGAAGGAAGUGUGAAUGAGUUAGAUAUGAGGGAGGGAGGCAGGCAGGCCGAGGUUGACAAAUCAAGAAGAGAGACCAGCCUGUUAUUUGGUUAAGCUGAUAACCACAAAGAGUGUAAAAACAAUAAUAACGGAAAGGAGUGGAAAUGGGGACCGUGGGCCCAGGGACACUUACUUACCACUUACUAUCACCUGGUUCUGUUUGGAAAAACUUAACUGCCUAUGCAUUACUUUUAAGAUGAUUUAAGAGAGAAGAUUUUAAUAAUUGUGGAUGCAGAGUCUCAAGAAUACCUUUCCACACUAUUCCAUUGCCACUAUUACCAAGCCACCAAGGACUGCUGUGGCUAAUGGCGGAAGGCUUUGGACAACGGUAGGUUGGGGUGGGGUGGCGAAGGACUUAGAUCCACAGUCACAUUCAAGUCUUGAGCUGGAUUCAUGUGGCAGAAAACUACCAGCCUUCCUCAAACGUGCAAGGUCAGAGGCUCUGGCGACCAGACCGUGCCUGCCAGGAAAGCUCAGGACCUGUUCUCUGUAACGCUCCUGCCGCCUUGGGAUCCUGCUUCGUAAUGUAGGAUGCUACGGCCAUUCUGGAGAAUAGAUGCCUGCAUUGACUGCCUUUGUUUUCUCUGGUCUGAGGAGUGGCCCAGCUUCAGGGCACCGACUUCCUUCCAGGAACUUCCUGCAAGGGAAAAUUUCGACUUUUCUGCAUGAACACUCCAAAUGCCUGUGGGUUGAACAAUGGCCACAGCAGUUGUUUUUCAAGGGACUUGGUUUUGUUUUGACCUUGAGAAGUGUGGAUUGUUGUGUUCAUGGCGCCUCCAGGUGGGCAGUCAAGGAAGGGCCUCUUGGUGGGGUGGGAGCCGCUGGAGAACGAGGACCUGACGGGGCCAUUUUCCCUUUUAGCCCUGGUCUGAGUGGUCCUGGGAAUAGCAGUUCCGUGACAGGGUUUGGGAUGGGAAAUGGAGUCCAGGGAACAGCUGGGGAAGGAACUUACUGUGGAGUUCCUGCCAGUAGCUCAAGGAUGCUUCCUGGUUCAGAAGGUUGUGAAAAUAGAUGCCUUUAUCUGUUGUCCCUCUAUCCAGGCAAAUUUGUAAGUAAUCCCAUGUUUUGAAAUAAAGGAAAUACAAGGGAGUAUUCUGAGGUUCCCUCAGCAGCUGGAAAACCUUGCCUAAAAUUGUAGUCGCGCAUUUUCCUGUCAGGAAUUGAGUUACUGUGGCUUUAGUCCCGGGCUGCAAAGUGAGACGCCACCAUGAUUGGAGUGGAUGGUUUUCAGUGAGUGGCACCCUCUGGGUGGGGACUUUGGCAAACUAAAAUCUCACAGCUCAUUGAAGUUGCUGUUCAGUUUCAGCUGUUGCCACGUAUGGAGAGCAGGCUUGACAGAGCUUCCGGUUUUUCAAGAAAAACAAGGACUCUGGAUUUAUAAGUGAAAUCUCUUGUAUUUCAAACGUUACCAACUAAUGAAAAGGAAAUGAAAUGACUGCCUAGACUUUAGAAGCCAUUUAUUGGGUGGUAAAGUCUGAGAACCUCCAGCUCUUUCCUCUGGUUAGGACUCUAACUCUUGUCUCCCCGUAGUUCUUCUGUCUGGAUUGUUGAAAAUGAGCUGUACCUCUUCUGGGCACUGUCUCUGUCUUGCAUCUUGUCCCCAAAGCGUUUCAAUGACACUCUCUCACCUACAAGAUAAUGUAAGUUAGAAGUAGGCGAGCAAGUCAAAACAACUGUAUGAAGAAAAGUGGAACCAGAAUGAACUUGUAUAUGCCUGUCUGUGAGCCUGUCAGUGGAUCUCACAUUGGGCAUGGAACUUCGUAGCAACUUGCUCAACACGGAAGCCACAAACCUUAUCACCUCAACAAUUUGUGAUGUCCUUUAAACAAACUGUUCAGCAGAGGUUGAUGCCAAGAUCAGAGGAUACUUCCUAAAGGGUCUUCAAAGGAAUCGUAUCAGAGGCAAAGCCCUCAUGGCAGUGUGGGUUUUAUAGGACUUGCUCUUUUUUGUUGUCCUUUAUGAAAAGAAUGAUCCCAGGGGUGCCUGGGUGGCUCAGUCACUUAAGCGCCCGACCUUAGCUCAGGUCAUGAUCUCGUGGUUCAUGAGUUUGAGCCCCGGGUCGGGCUCUGUGCUGACAGUGAGGAGCCUGGAGCCUGCUUUGGGUUCUGUGGCUCCCUCUCUCUCUGCCCCUCCCCUGCUUGCACUCUAUUUCUCUCUCAGAAAUAAAUAAAUAUUAAAAAAAAAAAAAAAAAAAGAAGAGUGAACCCAGUUAGCACUAAUGUGUGGUUUAGGAAAUGAGAUAAUGGGGAGGGCUGAGCUGUACGUAAAAGCCUCCUGGUGGCCUAACUUAAGCAGGUGGGGAGAGGGGUGGUGGUGGAAGAGGGAAUGGUUUGGGAGACAAGUACUGGCAGCGGAACCUUGGCUAAGUUGCUUUAUUUUUCUACACCUCAGUUUCCUCAUCCAUGAAAUGGGCGUGUUUAUAUAACGUGAUCACUCUCGUAAGACAAUUGUGUGGCUUAAAUGAUUUAGUUCAAAUAAGGCAGUCAUUGCAAUUCCUGGUAUCCAGCAAGCAUUCCUUGAAUGUGAUGAAUUAGAGACAUCGCUAGCAGUGAGAACUUAAUUGUCAACAUGAUUAAAUGUGGCUGUUGCGAUUGUUUUACAGGACUUAAAAUGUUUUUGUUUGCCAUAAAAUAGUUUUAGUUAACACUCAAUCCCUGGUCACCAAAAAUAUGUUUAGUACCUAUGUACAAAGUGUUUUGCAAGGGUUGGUGGGACGGCCCCUGGUCUCAAGGAACUUGUAUUUUGAUUAACAUGAUAAAUACUCAUGAAGAGUAUGAGACAGGAUGUACCAAGGGCCAUCCCAGCACGGCUGUGGCCAUUCAGAGAAGGCUUAUCACGGUGAUCUGACUGACACCAGAAUAAGGUUUCACACACUGAUGGUUGACUUUAUUAUUUUCAGACUAGACUUUUGUAGUUUGAAUCAUUCUAAACACUGUACAAGAACAUUUCCAGCUAUGGGGCGCCUGGAUGGCUCAGUCAGUUGAGCAUCUGACUUCAGCUCAGGUCGUGAUCUCACGGUUUCUGGGUUGGAGCCCUGCAUCUGGCU
Molecule: long non-coding RNA, 10586 nt
Organism: Leopardus geoffroyi (Geoffroy's cat)
Lineage: Eukaryota; Metazoa; Chordata; Mammalia; Carnivora; Felidae
Exons: 3
Source: RefSeq, a predicted model, not a curated record